This 444-nucleotide ribosomal RNA is filed under the name Gastridium ventricosum. RNAcentral's name for it is "eukaryotic LSU rRNA". The stretch from base 304 to 444 matches the Rfam family "Eukaryotic large subunit ribosomal RNA", at positions 1 to 141 of the family's 3401-position model. The record is from RNAcentral. Lineage: Eukaryota; Viridiplantae; Streptophyta; Magnoliopsida; Poales; Poaceae.
UGCAGAAUCCCGCGAACCAUCGAGUCUUUGAACGCAAGUUGCGCCCGAGGCCAUUCGGCCGAGGGCACGCCUGCCUGGGCGUCACGCAAAACACGCUCCCACCCCCUCAUUGGGGGACCGGGACGCGGCAUCUGGCCCCCCGUCGCGCAAGGGGCGGUGGGCCGAAGAUAUGGCUGCCGGCGCAUCGUGCCGGACACAGCGCGUGGUGGGCGACCUCGCUUUACUUACCGCAGUGCAUCCGGUGCGUAGCCGGCGUGAUGGCCUCGAAGGACCCUAUGAACGGUGCGCACGACGCUCCGACCGCGACCCCAGGUCAGGCGGGACUACCCGCUGAAUUUAAGCAUAUAAAUAAGCGGAGGAGAAGAAACUUACGAGGAUUCCCCUAGUAACGGCGAGCGAACCGGGAACAGCCCAGCUUGAGAAUCGGGCGGCCGUGCUGUCCGA